GUCGAGCGGAAACGGCAGUAUUGAAGCUUCGGUGGAUUUACUGGACGUCGAGCGGCGGACGGGUGAGUAACGGCUGGGAACCUGCCCUGACGAGGGGGAUAACCGUUGGAAACGACGGCUAAUACCGCAUAAUGUCUACGGACCAAAGGUGGCCUCUACAUGUAAGCUAUCGCGUUGGGAUGGGCCCAGUUAGGAUUAGCUAGUUGGUAAGGUAACGGCUUACCAAGGCGACGAUCCUUAGCUGGUUUGAGAGGAUGAUCAGCCACACUGGGACUGAGACACGGCCCAGACUCCUACGGGAGGCAGCAGUGGGGAAUAUUGCACAAUGGGGGAGACCCUGAUGCAGCCAUGCCGCGUGUGUGAAGAAGGCCUUCGGGUUGUAAAGCACUUUCAGCAGUGAGGAAGGUAGUGUACUUAAUACGUGCAUUGCUUGACGUUAGCUGCAGAAGAAGCACCGGCUAACUCCGUGCCAGCAGCCGCGGUAAUACGGAGGGUGCGAGCGUUAAUCGGAAUUACUGGGCGUAAAGCGCAUGCAGGCGGUUUGUUAAGUCAGAUGUGAAAGCCCGGGGCUCAACCUCGGAACCGCAUUUGAAACUGGCAGGCUAGAGUCUUGUAGAGGGGGGUAGAAUUUCAGGUGUAGCGGUGAAAUGCGUAGAGAUCUGAAGGAAUACCAGUGGCGAAGGCGGCCCCCUGGACAAAGACUGACGCUCAGAUGCGAAAGCGUGGGUAGCAAACAGGAUUAGAUACCCUGGUAGUCCACGCCGUAAACGAUGUCUACUUGGAGGCUGAGGUUUAAGAC
This 799-nucleotide ribosomal RNA is filed under the name Salinivibrio sp. JSM 073080. Its description in RNAcentral is "bacterial SSU rRNA". It matches the Rfam family "Bacterial small subunit ribosomal RNA", at positions 61 to 837 of the family's 1533-position model. The record is from RNAcentral. Lineage: Bacteria; Pseudomonadati; Pseudomonadota; Gammaproteobacteria; Vibrionales; Vibrionaceae.